RNAcentral lists this ribosomal RNA (770 nucleotides) under Dothideomycetes sp. CEF-017. Its description in RNAcentral is "eukaryotic LSU rRNA". The stretch from base 473 to 770 matches the Rfam family "Eukaryotic large subunit ribosomal RNA", at positions 1 to 296 of the family's 3401-position model. The record is from RNAcentral. Lineage: Eukaryota; Fungi; Ascomycota; Dothideomycetes.
AGGAUCAUUACAGUGACCCCGGUCUACCACCGGGAUGUUCAUAACCCUUUGUUGUCCGACUCUGUUGCCUCCGGGGCGACCCUGCCUUCGGGCGGGGGCUCCGGGUGGACACUUCAAACUCUUGCGUAACUUUGCAGUCUGAGUAAACUUAAUUAAUAAAUUAAAACUUUUAACAACGGAUCUCUAGGUUCUGGCAUCGAUGAAGAACGCAGCGAAAUGCGAUAAGUAAUGUGAAUUGCAGAAUUCAGUGCAUCAUCGAAUCUUUGAACGCACAUUGCGCCCCCUGGUAUUCCGGGGGGCAUGCCUGUACGAGCGUAAUCUCACCACUCAAGCCUCGCUUGGUAUUGGGCAACGCGGUCCGCCGCGUGCCUCAAAUCGACCGGCUGGGUCUUCUGUCCCCUAAGCGUUGUGGAAACUAUUCGCUAAAGGGUGCUCGGGAGGCUACGCCGUAAAACAAACCCAUUUCUAAGGUUGACCUCGGAUCAGGUAGGGAUACCCGCUGAACUUAAGCAUAUCAAUACACGGAGGAAAAGAAACCAACAGGGAUUGCUCUAGUAACGGCGAGUGAAGCAGCAAUCGCUCAACUUUGAAAUCUGGCGUCUUCGACGUCCGAGUUGUAAUUUGUAGAGGAUGCUUCUGAGUAACCACCGACCUAAGUUCCUUGGAACAGGACGUCAUAGAGGGUGAGAAUCCCGUAUGCGGUCGGAAAGGUGCUCUAUACGUAGCUCCUUCGACGAGUCGAGUUGUUUGGGAAUGCAGCUCUAAAUGGG